RNAcentral lists this microRNA (20 nucleotides) under Medicago truncatula (barrel medic). RNAcentral's name for it is "mtr-miR5265". Lineage: Eukaryota; Viridiplantae; Streptophyta; Magnoliopsida; Fabales; Fabaceae. The record is from miRBase by way of RNAcentral.
AAGUGAUGUUGGAAUGGUUA